RNAcentral lists this ribosomal RNA (478 nucleotides) under uncultured bacterium. RNAcentral's name for it is "partial 16S ribosomal RNA". It matches the Rfam family "Bacterial small subunit ribosomal RNA", at positions 28 to 523 of the family's 1533-position model. The record is from RNAcentral.
GACGAACGCUGGCGGCGUGCUUAACACAUGCAAGUCGAACGGUAAGGCCCUUCGGGGUACACGAGUGGCAAACGGGUGAGUAACACGUGGGUGAUCUGCCCUGCACUUCGGGAUAAGCCUGGGAAACUGGGUCUAAUACCGGAUAGGACCACUGCCUGCAUGGGUGGUGGUGGAAAGCUUUUGCGGUGUGGGAUGGGCCCGCGGCCUAUCAGCUUGUUGGUGGGGUGAUGGCCUACCAAGGCGACGACGGGUAGCCGGCCUGAGAGGGUGACCGGGCACACUGGGACUGAGAUACGGCCCAGACUCCUACGGGAGGCAGCAGUGGGGAAUAUUGCACAAUGGGCGCAAGCCUGAUGCAGCGACGCCGCGUGAGGGAUGACGGCCUUCGGGUUGUAAACCUCUUUCAGCACCGACGAAGCGCAAGUGACGGUAGGUGCAGAAGAAGGACCGGCCAACUACGUGCCAGCCGCCGCGGUAA